Long non-coding RNA from Esox lucius (northern pike), 1686 nucleotides. The record is from Ensembl. Lineage: Eukaryota; Metazoa; Chordata; Actinopteri; Esociformes; Esocidae.
UUAGAGCAUUUAUGAAUUGUAAAAUACACACUCUAACACACAUCUGGGACCAGUAUCUUCAAUUGAAUUAUUUGGAAUUUUGAUAUCUCAAGCGAUUUGACCGCAAUAAGUGAAUGAAGUAAAAUCACCUAAACACCAUCUGCUCUGAUAUAAUUGAACGGAUUGGCAUGCUGUUUGCUUGUGAAGGUUCUUUGGACAGUUUCUUGUUAAAUGUUACACAAAUCGUAUAUUAUUGUACACAUAGAUAUAUGUUUUCAGCAGAUCUUUUUUCUAAUUUCCCUUAGUAAGAUUUUACUUUUGCAGCCGGUCAGGUUUUUUUGCCAUGUGACUUCCUAUCAAUUAAUAGUCAAUGACCUUGUCACGUCCAAUCCCAUCGACAGCUUAAAUUGUUCGUUAGGUCACACCUGCUCCAUUUUACAAGGUGGUAGUAUUUCGGAAGAUUAUGAGCUUUCCAUGAGUACACUGAGUCUGCAAAUCCUCUGCUUGAAGCUGGUCAAUCUUCAUCAGGAGACUUAUGGUGUCGGUUCUCAUUCCAGGACUUUGAUCAUCUUCCACCUCAAAGGUGAUUGGUUCACCCUGAGAUAGAAACAAAGAAUUGGAGUAACAAACGCAGUCUAAAGAUUUUAGGUUCCUGAAAACAUAUUCAAAUUAGGCUGGUCUACACAAGGUGAACUCAAUUCAAGAGGAGGAGAUUCCGGCAGUUCCAACAGAGUGACUCAGAGACUUUGUUCCACAAAAUGGGACAGAAUGAAUGUAAUAUAAUGGGUCCUUGACCUAUACAUUACAUAAAAGCUCUUAUUAUGAAUGUCACUAUUCUCUUUAUGGCAAUGUGUCCUGAAUAGUUACAUAAAUGUUUAAAAAUGUAAUAUACCCCUUUGUAUGUUAUGCCAUUUUCUACAAACUGGCUAUUCUAAUGAGCUCAGCCCUGAAAAAAGACUACAUUUGAUUGGUCCAGAAUUAUUGUGUAUCACAGACAUUUCUCUGCUUCACCAUGUUGGACAUUACAGCAGAGUAAAAAGUAUUUUUGGAGAUGCAAAUUUGGACUGUAUGUGAAACAUACAUUUGGCAAAUUAUAAUAUAUGUUUUAAUGUAUUUGGUACACAUACAAUUGUUUGGAAAUUAUAAUUUGGCCAAUCUUUAUAUUUUACAUGUUCUUUCAAAUUAUUACACCAUUGAUAAAGAUGAGCAAAAAGGAUUGUAUGAAAAUAAAAAUAAAUGGUAAUGUAUUGUACAUGUGGAAUGUUAUACUUUAAUAUUUCAUGGGACUACAACAAAACUGCACAUCAUAAAGUAUCCAUUUCCCCCCAAAGAAGUAUUUCAAAAGUAUAGGCACCCUUGCUAUCAGUGGUCAGCACACCCUACCGACAGAGCAUUUUUGUAUACUUUUAUGACAUUGAAGAAGAUAUUGAAACUGACUAUUACCCCAUACACAUUCUAUGCAGAUCCCUUUUAUUAUUAUUAGAAGCACUAUAAUUAUUGUUAUUACAGUGCUUAUAAUAAUAAUAGUCAUCACCAUCUUAAUAUUGAGUUUGUAGAGAAUAUGCGCACAAAAGUAAUGCUCAAAUGCCCUCAUUUUCAAAUGGAUUCAUGUUCAAAUUUUUGAAUUUUGAUAUGUGCUUGGGGUCACUGUCUAUUUGGCCGACCAACUUGCCAACCAUGUUUCUGCCUUUGUAAUAGUCAACCAGG